CGGAACGGGUGAGUAAUACAUCGGAACGUGCCCGAUCGUGGGGGAUAACGAAGCGAAAGCUUUGCUAAUACCGCAUAAGAUCUACGGAUGAAAGCAGGGGACCGCAAGGCCUUGCGCGAACGGAGCGGCCGAUGGCAGAUUAGGUAGUCGGUGGGAUAAAAGCUUACCAAGCCGACGAUCUGUAGCUGGUCUGAGAGGACGACCAGCCACACUGGGACUGAGACACGGCCCAG
This 233-nucleotide ribosomal RNA is filed under the name uncultured bacterium. RNAcentral's name for it is "partial 16S ribosomal RNA". It matches the Rfam family "Bacterial small subunit ribosomal RNA", at positions 100 to 334 of the family's 1533-position model. The record is from RNAcentral.